AUGAAGAGCCUGGCUGACAAGUGUGUGCAAGGCUACAACGAAGCUGAGAAGCGCAAGGCCUUUGGGCGUCCGGGCAUUGAUCCCAGGAUGGCUGCUAAGCAGAAGAAGAAGCCAAUUGGGGUCGAACCUCUCGCACCAAGGCAGGAAGUAGAUUCCAUUGUCUUCCCAACCAGCAUGACUGGCUUGAAGCCAAAAGCCCGGUCAACCGCUUCAGAGCUGAAGAAGACGAGGACUGCUGAGGCUGAAGCCAGGAAGAGAAAACAUACUGAAGCCUCUUCUACUGCCCCCACCAAGAAGAAGAGGAAGACCAAAAAAGAACGGGCUGCUCCCACAGAGCCUUUGAUUGUUGAACCCAUUUUCAUGGUUCGUCCUGACACUGAACGUCAACUGACAAUCCAUAAGCCUGCUUUCACAGAGGCUCAUGAAGCUGAAGACUUUCCAGCAGCUGAUCCCAUCGCUGCUGAAGACAUUGGUCAUCAUGACCAUGUUAAAGAUGAUGCAGUCCUUCCUCAGCUCGAACACCAACAGGUAUCAUCGCCUGUGCUAACGCACAGCAAACUCAUCAGCAUUGGUCGUCCUCUGAUGCCAAUUGCUCAGGAUGCUUCAUGGGCUGAUCGCCCACAAGAGAAAGAAAAUUUUAAGGCCCAGCCAACUCCAACUACACAGGCGUCGCCUGCGUUGCGCAGGCUUCGCAAAGGACCAAGGCCUCCAGUCUCUGCGUCUGAAGCUAAAGCUGCUGAAAAAAUUCCGGCUGCAUCAGCCGAUGAAGAAGAAGUCCCACAAGCUGCUACUCCCCUGUCCCACCAAGAAGAGGUUCUCGAGAAGAACGUGACUGUGACCGACCUUCCAGCUCGUCAAGUGGAGGUUGAAAAUCUUGAGGCUGCCACCACCAACAUCAAUGAAGCCACUGACAAAGCUAAUGUGAAGCCCUCACCAACAAAAGCACCAGAAGUCAGCGAAGCCACUGAUCCCACUGCUUUUGUUCCUGCGCCUGCUACCGGUCCUCAGUUCGACUAUCAUGUUGAGCAUAGACCUCAGGUACAGAAGCCCAUCCUAAGAUUGCCCAGGUUCUCAGGUCCUGCAUCAGCACCUGGAUUCUUCAAUAUCAAUGACUUCAGAGCAGACAACACAUUCUUUAGUAGCUCUAGGAACCCCUACUCAAGGGAAAGAAUAUCAUCUGAUCGGUUCUGGAGCUAUCCGCAGCGAAGCUAUUACUUCUGCAUUCUAUACAAUCAAGGUCGCAUCUUCCCACACAAGCGCCUUGACAUUGAAGCAAUAGCUGGUCUGCCAUGUCUGGAAGAAGCUCUGGAUUGCUUCAAAGAGGUUGGAUUGCUGCCGUUCGUCACUGACCAAGAGCAUUGGAAUGAAAAAUUGUUGCUCCAAUUCUAUGCCACACUUCACAUCCGCGGGUAUAACAGAGAUCCGAAGACUUGGGUCCUGAAGUGGAUGACAGAAAAUGUUCAUCACGAAGCCAAAGCCUUUGACAUCAUUGAGCUCACUGGUCUACCCACUCCUGGCGAUCUCUACGAAUCUGGCUGUCAACUUCACAGUGAAGCUGUGGAGAGCAUCUUUCAGAAGCCUGAACCUAACAUGAGUCGGAUGCUCGGUAUGAUGAAGCCAUUGUCCCAAGAUGCUGAAUAUCCCAAAGAGUUCUUUGUUGAAGACCUUAAGUAUCUGACAAGAACUAUUUAUCACAUCAUAAGGCGAACUCUCUGGCCCAUCAAAGGACACUCUCCACAUGCCAAGCUAGAAGGUGCAAUGAAGACUUUGGUCUUCUAUAUUCUUCAUGGCAAAUGCUUCAAUGCACAGCACUUCUUCAUUCGCCAACUUGCUGCAUCAGGCUCUAAUCUAUUUGGCUUGAAGUUCUACGUCCCAUGGGUAAUGCGGCUGAUCAAACUUCACUCCGCUAUCUCAUAUCAGCCAUCUGCUCGCAAUCAUCAGAUCUUUCUGCCUGAUGUGGAUAUGUCUAUUGAAGCCAUCUAUCCUGAGCCUGCCAAGGAACCUCUAAGUCUUUAG
This 2016-nucleotide ribosomal RNA is filed under the name Triticum aestivum (bread wheat). RNAcentral's name for it is "partial small subunit ribosomal RNA". Lineage: Eukaryota; Viridiplantae; Streptophyta; Magnoliopsida; Poales; Poaceae. The record is from RNAcentral.